RNAcentral lists this ribosomal RNA (1290 nucleotides) under Salmonella enterica. RNAcentral's name for it is "partial 23S ribosomal RNA". It matches the Rfam family "Bacterial large subunit ribosomal RNA", at positions 38 to 1230 of the family's 2925-position model. RNAcentral also lists the same sequence under 1 other name. Lineage: Bacteria; Pseudomonadati; Pseudomonadota; Gammaproteobacteria; Enterobacterales; Enterobacteriaceae. The record is from RNAcentral.
AGUCAGAGGCGAUGAAGGGCGUGCUAAUCUGCGAUAAGCGCCGGUAAGGUGAUAUGAACCGUUAUAACCGGCGAUACCCGAAUGGGGAAACCCAGUGUGACUCGUCACACUAUCAUUAACUGAAUCCAUAGGUUAAUGAGGCGAACCGGGGGAACUGAAACAUCUAAGUACCCCGAGGAAAAGAAAUCAACCGAGAUUCCCCCAGUAGCGGCGAGCGAACGGGGAGGAGCCCAGAGCCUGAAUCAGCAUGUGUGUUAGUGGAAGCGUCUGGAAAGGCGCGCGAUACAGGGUGACAGCCCCGUACACAAAAGCGCAUGUGCUGUGAGCUCGAUGAGUAGGGCGGGACACGUGGUAUCCUGUCUGAAUAUGGGGGGACCAUCCUCCAAGGCUAAAUACUCCUGACUGACCGAUAGUGAACCAGUACCGUGAGGGAAAGGCGAAAAGAACCCCGGCGAGGGGAGUGAAAAAGAACCUGAAACCGUGUACGUACAAGCAGUGGGAGCCCCACCACCAAAGCAUUUGCUGUACCGCGUUGACGGAGCGAAGCGACGUCAAACCGAUAAAACAGCAGUGUAAAGUGAGCCGCAGGGCGCUUUGCGCGACAGCGCAAAGGCAGGCGGUUUCGCGUAGCGAAAGCGAAUGCUUUGGGGUGGGGUGACUGCGUACCUUUUGUAUAAUGGGUCAGCGACUUAUAUUCUGUAGCAAGGUUAACCGAAUAGGGGAGCCGGAGGGAAACCGAGUCUUAAUUGGGCGUUAAGUUGCAGGGUAUAGACCCGAAACCCGGUGAUCUAGCCAUGGGCAGGUUGAAGGUUGGGUAACACUAACUGGAGGACCGAACCGACUAAUGUUGAAAAAUUAGCGGAUGACCUGUGGCUGGGGGUGAAAGGCCAAUCAAACCGGGAGAUAGCUGGUUCUCCCCGAAAGCUAUUUAGGUAGCGCCUCGUGAAUUCAUCUCCGGGGGUAGAGCACUGUUUCGGCUAGGGGGCCAUCCCGGCUUACCAACCCGAUGCAAACUGCGAAUACCGGAGAAUGUUAUCACGGGAGACACACGGCGGGUGCUAACGUCCGUCGUGAAGAGGGAAACAACCCAGACCGCCAGCUAAGGUCCCAAAGUCAUGGUUAAGUGGGAAACGAUGUGGGAAGGCCCAGACAGCCAGGAUGUUGGCUUAGAAGCAGCCAUCAUUUAAAGAAAGCGUAAUAGCUCACUGGUCGAGUCGGCCUGCGCGGAAGAUGUAACGGGGCUAAACCAUGCACCGAAGCUGCGGCAGCGACACUGUGUGUUGUUGGGUA